RNAcentral lists this ribosomal RNA (254 nucleotides) under uncultured bacterium. RNAcentral's name for it is "partial 16S ribosomal RNA". It matches the Rfam family "Bacterial small subunit ribosomal RNA", at positions 524 to 776 of the family's 1533-position model. The record is from RNAcentral.
UACGUAGGGUGCAAGCGUUAAUCGGAAUUACUGGGCGUAAAGCGUGCGCAGGCGGUUUUGUAAGUCUGACGUGAAAUCCCCGGGCUCAACCUGGGAAUUGCGUUGGAGACUGCAAGGCUAGAAUCUGGCAGAGGGGGGUAGAAUUCCACGUGUGAGCAGUGAAAUGCGUAGAUAUGUGGAGGAACACCGAUGGCGAAGGCAGCCCCCUGGGUCAAGAUUGACGCUCAUGCACGAAAGCGUGGGGAGCAAACAGG